This 4194-nucleotide long non-coding RNA is filed under the name Homo sapiens (human). RNAcentral's name for it is "HSALNT0367415". Lineage: Eukaryota; Metazoa; Chordata; Mammalia; Primates; Hominidae. The record is from RNAcentral.
GUUUUUUUGGAAAAUACGGUGGUAUGAAUUCAAGGUAUAAAACCUUAUGCUGGCUGGUUUGUGAUUAUACAUCCUCAAGGGAACUCUUUCCCCUGCAUAGCCAAUGUCAAUGCUUAGGUCAGUGAAAUUUCCUUAUGGUGACCUCACAGCGAGGGUGUAACCCUUGAGAAUCACAGCUUUAUGCAGUGAGACAGGAUGUCUCUCAUUGACUCUCCCUCUUGGGUGGUCACUGGGCUUUUUUCUUCUAUUCUGCAAUGCCUGCAAGGCCACGGACUUUUUAGAAAGCUCAACUACGACCUUACUUAAUGAAUGCUUUCAUAGUCCUUUUACCUUUUCAAUGUCCCGCUUUCACCUGAUUUUUGGUUUCUGAGAACUACUUAGCUCAUCAGUAUACUCACAAAGUGGAUUUUAGAAAAUAUUUUAUCUGGCAGUUUUUAUUGCUUUUCCAUAGGAGGAUCUAGCUGCAGUAUUGCCAGAACAAGAAAUUCACCUCUAUCUGUUCCUGUGUCUAACUAGGAUAUCAUGUGAACUGAAUGAGCCUUACGUUUUCUUUAUUGACAGCUUAGUGAGUGACUUUUGAACCAGGGUUGCAUGUCUUAAGGAACAACCCCAUCUUGAGGACUCAGUAACUUAAAAAUGGAUCUGCUGGUGCUCUCUCGACCAUGAAUUCUGAGGUGGCAGAACAGAGGCCAAGGUUUUGUUAGGUCAUAAUGCUAUCAUGUUUGAACUCCAUUCAUGUGUCGUGCUAGGAAAGGAGUGGUAUUAUCCCAGUCUUCCAGCUUAAACAUUUCACAACACUAAAUCCAUACUCUUUCUCCUUGUGUCUUACAAUUCUCCAAGCUAGAUCCCUGAGCAUAUUCCAUAAUCAGUGGGAAAGGGAGCUGAGCACAUCUGCACAGCCUCCUGUUUCGAUUGGGAGCUCCUUGGAGGCAGAGAAUUUCCUGUGUAUUCUGGAUCUCUCCAGUUUGUGCUCCAGAUGCAGUCUCCACUCUGCUUCUCAUCAGAAGGCCAGCCGUGUGGUCACAUCAAUAAACUUCCCUACCUUCUGCUUUCUAGUUUCAUGCACGAGGGGGAACCUGGCCCAAGAGCAGAGGACAGGAGGAAGAGAAUUCAGGGUGUUUCUCACCCAGACUCCCUCACUGCUAGGUCACCUCAGGCUGACUGGUGACUUUAUCCCUUCACAAGGGCAUCUGGACCAAAGGUUCCCAUCACAAUGACUUCUGCAGGACUCUUGCUUCCCAGGUUAUGGGUGAUAACAGUUCCUCUGCUGUGACUUCCAUGGGGUUACGGCCUCACUGGUGUAAACAGUCCCUUUGUAGAUAAUCCCCCUCCAAUGAUCCUAAUUUGAAUGUGCCAUCUCUUUCCUCUUGUGGGUCACUAUGUCUCCUUCCAUUCACCCAAGAAGUAUUUUAUGCACGUGUACUAUGUGCCAGAUACUAUUCUAGGUGCUGAGGACACGAAAGUAAAAUAAAAAGGACAAGAUCCCUGCACUCUUGGAAUUCAUCUUCAGACUUAACACUGUGUGUGGUACAGAGCAGAUGCCCUUCUAAAGGGAUAAAUAUAAUUUCCUCUUCUCAUUAAAACUUUUCCUCAACCCUGAAUCAGAAGUGCUUACUAUGGGGUUCAGCAAGAGCCUGCUGAUUACAUAUAGCGGACAUGCCAACGAGAACAAGGGAUGGGGGGAAGUAAGCCACACAAGUGACUCUGAGCCUUUGCAGAAGGGUGCAGUUGAAACAAGCAGCAUAUAGAUGUGGAUCCAAAUCUACUCAUUUUCAUUUAACAAACUCAAGGACUCUGAAAAUAUUUUACCUGACAAAGUGAGAUUUAAAAAAUAAACACAGGAAGGUGAGCUUUGUGGCUUUUCUGACAGAUCAAACCACUGCGUGCAGCCUAAUUCCCACCAGCUGCCAAAGAACUACACCACAGGUGAAUAUUCAUGCUUGUGCUUUUUUAAAAGAUGAAUUUCCUGGAAAACAGCCACAUUUCUUAGGAGGCAAACAGGUUAAGCUAAAUGUCUUAUUAGGAAUAUGUGUCACUUAAAAUUCUGAGUUUGGGCUUUGCAAGGUCAUCUUUCCACACCUGCUUGAAAGUUUCAUCAAAAUAAUACCCAUGCCUAGAGACCAGGAGAUGCUAUUGAUUCUUCUCUCCCGCUUUUCCUUCUCCAAAAGUCAGAUUUACUGCAAGCAAGCAGAGAAUCUACAUUUAGAACCAUCCCUGAGAAGGAUCACCGGAUGACAGCAUUGUCAUCUGCAGCGAGGAUGGUGGCUACGAGCACUAAGACAAUUUAAUUAUUUCCUGAGGCCAACAAAGAUUUCACCUGCUCUUUCUUCAGCUGUUCCUAAUUAGAAUAAAAGCCAGGAAACCCAGUAAUAAUAACAGCUGUUAGCUUCCAAAGUCUUCACUCUCAACAUAGUACUAAUUCAGCUAGGGUAUAAAACGGGAAGGAAUCAGAAUGGGAAAUGCCAUUCAGUAUUUGUUCAAAAGGCCCUCACAUUGUUGGUAUUUUUGUUAGUGUUUGUUAAUAUGAAGCAGGAACUUUUUUAAAUCCCUGUUUUAUGCAAGUCACAGCAGGUUCCCUUGCAAGGAUCAUUCCAUUAACAAGAAAUUGAACAGGAGUGGGUACUACAUAUUCUUGAGGAACAUCAUGAAUUGGAACUUGGAGGAAGGCAUGCAGUCAAAUGAACAAAAAACCAAAAAUCUAUUUUCUGCAGUUUUCUGUCAGUGAACUCGUUUUUACUAAAAGAGAAUUUAAUUCAGCAAAUAAAUGGGCUGAUAAUAAUCUAAAAGUCUAGCAAAGUGGAUUUUAUUUGGUUUAUUUAUUUAUAUAAAAAGGCUGGAGUGCAGUGGUGCAAUCUAGGCUCACUGCAACCUCCGCCUCCUGGAUUCAAGUGAUUCUCCUACCUCAGCCUCCAGAGGAGCUGGGAUUACAGAUGUCUGCCACCAUGCCCGGCUAAUUUCUGUAUCUUUAGUAGAGACGGCGUUUCAUCAUAUUGGCCAGGCUGAUCUCAAACUCUGUUCUCAAGUGAUUCACCUGCCUUGGCCUCCCACAGUGCUGGAAUUAUAUGCCCACAAUGCACGGCCGCAAAUUGGAUUUUAAACAACGUAACAGCAAAGCAGUAGAGAGUAAACUUGAAGCUCUUAGAAGAAAAGAAACUGUUCAGGAACUGUCUGCUCCUUUUUAUCCCAUUUAUGCUUGAGGUUGCAAUUUUUUGAAUUUUUGCAAUCAGACCUUGGCAAUGACCAUGAGCAGUAGGAUAUAAAUAACUCGAUAAGCAAGUAGAUCAAUAUAUAAAAAAAUUUACACUUUGGAUCCAUUUAAAUACAAAAAAAGGAAAUGAAAUGCUGCGAUACAGCUAUCCAAAUGUACACAGAUUUUUCCAGUUAUUGUAGCUACCACUUUUUAUUACACACUUAAAAGAUUUUUGGCAGCAACUGACCUAAUUCUUCCAAGCCAGAAUAUGAAUUCCCAUAUGGUUCUGUAUUCUUUCCAUUACUAUACAGUUUUUCUUGGCUACUGUUUUCUUCUGCUCAUUCCUUUUUCUCUCCUAUAAUAUUCAAGCAACUUUACUCCCAUUCCUAUAAACAAAGAUAUGUAUUAUGAUUAUUUCUUUUGAUCAGAAUAUUCUUUUCCUGAAAUUAGUCAAUUAAAUAUUUAUUCCAUAUAAAUUAUGUAAAAUACACAGUAUUAAGCAUUGUUGUAACUUUUUUUUAAAAGACCCUAGAAAGACUUCAAAAUCUUUUUGAAAAGGGCACACAUAAUAAAGGUUACCAAUACAUGGUAGCAAAUGAUAAUUGCAAAAUCAGUAAAGCAAUACUAAAUUCACUGGGCCACAGGAUAAGGCGAUACCAGACUAGACUGGUGCUCAGGAAAGAGUACUCAAAGGACUGACUUUACACAGGAAGAAGUUACUGAGUGAGUGGAAAAGGUGAAAGUACAGAGGUAGAUGACAAGAAAGGAAAAACCAUGGCAACCAGAAACACAAUGUAUAUUUCAGUGGGAGUGAGCAGAGACAUUUGGCUACAGUAAGCCCUUCCAGUAGGAAAGUAUUGGGAGAUGAGGAUAAUCAGAUGGGCUGGAAGCCAAUCAGCUUAUGAACACCAAGAGAAAGACACCAUAAAAGCAUGGUUCAGAGAUUGCCUUAAAGGCCAGAGAAAUCCCAUUGUAGACCUGGUCCCGCUAUGUACUAGCCUGGA